Mus musculus (house mouse) is the source of this 356-nucleotide long non-coding RNA. RefSeq annotates it as predicted gene, 52766. NCBI's taxonomy places the organism in Eukaryota, Metazoa, Chordata, Mammalia, Rodentia, Muridae. The record is from RefSeq and is a predicted model, not a curated record. The transcript is spliced from 3 exons.
UCAGGAAUACUGACUAUUAAUCAGAGGGGAAAGGUAUGCUGCAAAAUUGCUGGAGAGCUCUUCAUCAUUCCAAAAAUUUGUGUACUGGCAAAUUUUUAGAAUGGAAAAUAGUAAUACGGAGGCUCAGCGGCAGCAAGCUACAUACAGUGGAGCAAAACCUCGUAAGGCGUAACCAACAGAUCCUGCAAAUCCCAGCAGUGCUCACUGUAUGUUGGUGUGAUGGAGGCCCCCUCCCUGCAGCACAGUUCCUUGCCAUCAGAUAGAAAGGAUAAGAAAAUUUUGAUUGGUUUACAAUGGAAUAGAAUUGAAGACCCAGAAAUGAACCCACACACCUAUGGUCACUUGAUCUUCGACAA